GUGGGGAAUCUUCCGCAAUGGACGAAAGUCUGACGGAGCGACGCCGCGUGAGUGAAGAAGGCCUUCGGGUCGUAAAGCUCUGUCAUCAGGGACGAACGGCCGGUGGAGUGGAAAGCCACCGGAUUGACGGUACCUGAGAAGGAAGCCACGGCUAACUACGUGCCAGCAGCCGCGGUAAUACGUAGGUGGCAAGCGUUGUCCGGAAUUAUUGGGCGUAAAGCGCGCGCAGGUGGGAUCUUAAGUCCAUUUUGAAAGUUCGGAGCUCAACUCCGUGAUGGGAUGGAAACUGGGAUUCUUGAGUACCGGAGAGGAAAGCGGAAUUCCUAGUGUAGCGGUGAAAUGCGUAGAUAUUAGGAGGAACACCAGUGGCGAAAGCGGCUUUCUGGACGAUAACUGACGCUGAGGCGCGAAAGCCAGGGGAGCGAACGGGAUUAGAAACCCCAGUAGUCC
This 450-nucleotide ribosomal RNA is filed under the name uncultured bacterium. RNAcentral's name for it is "partial 16S ribosomal RNA". It matches the Rfam family "Bacterial small subunit ribosomal RNA", at positions 354 to 796 of the family's 1533-position model. The record is from RNAcentral.